AAUAACAUAAUAAAAUGGACCAAGUGAAAUUGGAGUGCAUCCAUAUGUAUCAUUGCAACAUACCUUCAACUGCUGCAUACUGCUUACAUGAGUUUUGAAUACCUGCAGCAUGAACCUUGCUAAUAGUAGUAUUUUCCUCCAUUACAUUGUCUUAAUUCGAAAUUGAAACCAUUUAGAUCUUAAUGCCCAUAUGGUCGGGAAUUACUGGAGGCUCGUGAAUGGUGCUUGAAGUACAAAAGAACUGGGAAAGAUGCAGAACUUACUCAGAAGGAAGCACUAAUUCUUUUGCUGCCACUGAUUAGAUCUUUAAGUAUCAGGUACUGCAUCUAAAAUUUGUAGUUCCCUUUUAACCCUUGUUAUGAUUGAAUUUUCCCACUUGUCCACUUGUGCAUUUGGUGGCGAAGAUGAUUUGUAUCAACCUAUUGGAAUGACGGAGGCAUCGCUUAGAAAGGUGACGUUAUACAUUGAAUAUCUUUUGUUACCUUAGUCCCACAUUACCCAGAGUAGUUUGGAAUUCGGGGACUAGUGUUAAUUGUAACCAGAAGCAGAUCGAACAUACCCCAAAAAUCUCCUUGAUCGAAAGAUUCUAGCCACCCAACUUGGGAUUUUCUCCAUUGAAUGGGGACCAUUGUUUUGUUUUCCACAGGUAAUUGACAACCAAGUAGAAGUCUGUCGUGAGUUCCUCUGAGGAACCUGUCAUCGAACUGGUUGCCGUUUCUAUCACCCAUUGGCUACAACUAGUACCGCAAUGUCCAGUGGACUCAAAUGUCUGCCAUUGUGCUAACCAUGGAUGAAGCGUUCCAGUUAUAAUGCAAGCUCAAAAAGCAUCUCUGCUUGAUAUGCAAUGCAAAGACAAGUUCCUCUUUGAGUGUCAUUGCUAGUCAUGGUGCAACUACAAAGUACAUAACCCCAGAAAUGGUGGGACCUUGUGUUUUCUCUAGGAGUGGAGCACAUCAUGGAGCAUUUUUUAUUUAUUUUUAAUGUAUUCGGGCAAUUGUAAACUUAUUGUUGUAAAUAUAUAUAAUUUUAUUAUAAAGUUGUACCAUAUUUGUUCAAUAUUAAUUUUUAAUUGUAUAUAAUAAUCUUUGAUUUUUAAAUAUGAAAACAAAUGUACAGCUUUUA
Magnolia sinica is the source of this 1122-nucleotide long non-coding RNA. RefSeq lists it as uncharacterized. The transcript has 3 exons. Lineage: Eukaryota; Viridiplantae; Streptophyta; Magnoliopsida; Magnoliales; Magnoliaceae. The record is from RefSeq and is a predicted model, not a curated record.